CUAAGAAUCUUGCGCAAUGGGCGAAAGCCUGACGCAGCAAUUCCGCGUGGGGGGACGAAGGCCCUCGGGUCGUAAACCCCUUUUGUGAGGGAAGAAGUUCUGACGGUACCUCACGAAUAAGACACGGCUAACUACGUGCCAGCAGCCGCGGUAAUACGUAGGUGUCGAGCGUUGUCCGGAUUUAUUGGGCGUAAAGAGCCCGCAGGCGGCUUGGUAAGUUCGAGGUGAAAUCUCCCGGCUCAACUGGGAGGGUGCCUCGAAAACUAUCAGGCUUGAGGCAGGGAGAGGGAUGUGGAAUUCCCGGUGUAGUGGUGAAAUGCGUAGAUAUCGGGAGGAACACCUGUGGCGAAGGCGGCAUCCUGGCCCUGUCCUGACGCUCAGGGGCGAAAGCGUGGGGAGCAAACC
Molecule: ribosomal RNA, 405 nt
Filed under: uncultured bacterium
Lineage: Bacteria
Description: bacterial SSU rRNA
Rfam family: Bacterial small subunit ribosomal RNA
Source: RNAcentral